Molecule: small nucleolar RNA, 121 nt
Filed under: Castor canadensis (American beaver)
Lineage: Eukaryota; Metazoa; Chordata; Mammalia; Rodentia; Castoridae
Description: Small nucleolar RNA SNORA73 family (ENSCCNG00000019354.1)
Rfam family: Small nucleolar RNA SNORA73 family
About the family: U17 (SNORA73A and SNORA73B) also known as E1 belongs to the H/ACA class of small nucleolar RNAs (snoRNAs). Vertebrate U17 is intron-encoded and ranges in length from 200-230 nucleotides, longer than most snoRNAs. It is one of the most abundant snoRNAs in human cells and is essential for the cleavage of pre-rRNA within the 5' external transcribed spacer (ETS).
Source: Rfam by way of RNAcentral
GUAGUGCCUCUCCAAAACACUGCAGGAGAAGCCAGGCCUUGAGUCUGCACCUGCAUGUUCCUCGAACUCCUCAGAGUCCUGUGGACAAUGACUGAGGAGACAAACCAUGCAGGAAACAAUG